Molecule: long non-coding RNA, 1572 nt
Filed under: Sus scrofa (pig)
Lineage: Eukaryota; Metazoa; Chordata; Mammalia; Artiodactyla; Suidae
Description: lncRNA (ENSSSCG00070006013.1)
Source: RNAcentral
AAGGGAGCCCCGGGAGCGACUGCUGAGGGACACCGCGGCGAGCGAGCAUGGGUGGAGGAGCUGAGGGUGUGAGCAGGGCUGCAGCGGGCAGGUCCAAGGCAGGCGGGAGAGUCUCCAUAACAGCUCUGCACGAUGGGAGGACCCCAAGACAGCAGCCCAAGGAGGACAGGCAUUCUCGUGAGACAGCCGGAAUCCAGGUCUUCAGCUCCUCUGUGGUGCCGCAGGGGCUCCUGGGAGUCCGCCAUCUUGUGGACAGUGAACGGCCAGCCGUCUGCUCUCUACUGGAUCUGAAGACAUCCCUGGGAGCAGAGCGGAUGUUGGUAGCAGAUUCCAGUAUGGGAAGCUCAGAGAAGGUAAGCAGGGUGUCGGGGAGCCCCUGCCUGGGGUCCUCUGCAGCCGCCGUGUCGCUGGGGACUCGGUGUCCGUCCCUUGGUGUGGUGCUUGGAGCCGAGGGUGGUGGUGGACACCUGUGGUGGGGAGGACGGUCAUGCCCAGGUGGGGCCAGGGGCCAAGUGGCUGCUGGGGUCACACUCACACAACUCACAGUCACUUCUAAUUUUUCAGUUUCCAGAUGGCAGAUUAUGGGAUUUUUUUCCGCCUUCAAAAUUGUGAGUUGACUUCCAUUUUAAAAAUUCCCUUACCUGUAUCUAUAUUUAUAUCCAUACAUGUAUCUCUCUGUAUCUUACUGGUUCUGUUUAUAUUGUGUAUAUGCAGUAGCUAUCAUAGACUUUUUUUUUAUAUUGCAGAAACUUUUUAUUUAUUUAUUUAUUUUUUUAAAGGUUUUUUAAUAUAUAAGAAAAUCAUCUUAAACAUUUCCCCCCAUCUUCCCAUAUGGAUAACUGCAGUAAUUAGAAAGAAUUUGGGGGAGAUUGUAACAUUAUUGCAUGUGAAAUCUUAGUGAAAAAGUUCCCCUUUCCACCAGUCUUGACCUAAAACCAAGGUGACUUUUUUUUUUUGGUAUAAUGAUCAUAGCAAUCUAAUUUCACAGGAUUUCUAUCCCAUAGCCCAAGCAUACCCCCCCCACCCAAAAACUCUCUCCUCUGGAGACCAUAAGUUUUUCAAUGUCUGUGAGUCAGCAUCUGUUCUGCAAAGAAGUUCCGUCUGUCCAUUUUUCAGAUUCCACAUGUCAGUGAAAGCAUUUGUCAUCGGUGUCUCAUUGUAUGGCUGACUUCACUUAGAAUGAUAAUUUCUAGGUCCAUCCAUGUUGCUAAAAAUGCCGGUAUUUCACUCCUUUUAAUGGCUGAGUAAUAUUACAUUGUGUAUAUGGACCACAUCUUCUUGAUCCACUCCUCUGUCAAUGGACAUUUAGGUUGUUUCCAUGUUUUGGCUAUUGUAAAUAGUGUUGCAAUGAACACCGGAGUACAUGUGUUUUUGAGAGUCAUGGUUUUUCUCUGGAUAGAUGCCCAGGAGUGGGAUUGCUGGAUCAAAUGGGAGUUCUAUGUUUAGUUUUCUGAGGAAUCUCCAAACUGCUUUCCACAGUGGUUGCACCAAUGUGUAAUCCCACCAACCAUGUACUAGGGUUCCUUUUUUCUCCAUAGCCUCUCCAGCACUUCUUGUUUGUAGACUUUUUGA